AAGUCGAACGGCAGCACGGGGGCAACCCUGGUGGCGAGUGGCGAACGGGUGAGGAAUGCACCGGAACGUAUCUUCAAGUGGGGGAUAACGCAUCGAAAGGUGUGCUAAUACCGCAUAAUCUCUGAGGAGAAAAGCAGGGGAUCGCAAGACCUUGCGCUUUUGGAGCGGCCGAUGCCUGAUUAGCUUGUUGGUGAGGUAAAAGCUCACCAAGGCUCCGAUCAGUAGCUGGUCUGAGAGGACGACCAGCCACACUGGGACUGAGACACGGCCCAGACUCCUACGGGAGGCAGCAGUGGGGAAUUUUGGACAAUGGGGGCAACCCUGAUCCAGCCAUGCCGCGUGAGUGAAGAAGGCCUUCGGGUUGUAAAGCUCUUUCAGCCGGAACGAAACGGUCACGGUUAAUACCCGUGACUACUGACGGUACCGGAAGAAGAAGCACCGGCUAACUACGUGCCAGCAGCCGCGGUAAUACGUAGGGUGCGAGCGUUAAUCGGAAUUACUGGGCGUAAAGCGUGCGCAGGUGGUUUUGUAAGUCAGAUGUGAAAUCCCCGGGCUUAACCUGGGAACUGCGUUUGAAACUGCAAGGCUAGAGUGUGGCAGAGGGGGGUGGAAUUCCGCGUGUAGCAGUGAAAUGCGUAGAGAUGUGGAGGAACACCGAUGGCGAAGGCAGCCCCCUGGGUCAACACUGACGCU
RNAcentral lists this ribosomal RNA (693 nucleotides) under uncultured bacterium. RNAcentral's name for it is "bacterial SSU rRNA". It matches the Rfam family "Bacterial small subunit ribosomal RNA", at positions 59 to 747 of the family's 1533-position model. The record is from RNAcentral.